Molecule: ribosomal RNA, 519 nt
Filed under: uncultured bacterium
Lineage: Bacteria
Description: bacterial SSU rRNA
Rfam family: Bacterial small subunit ribosomal RNA
Source: RNAcentral
UAGUCCACGCCGUAAGCGAUGUCAACUAGCCGUUUGGGACACUAAGUCCUUGGUGGCGCAGCUAACGCGAUAAGUUGACCGCCUGGGGAGUACGCCGGCAACGGUAAAACUCAAAGGAAUUGACGGGGCCCGCACAAGCGGUGGAGCAUGUGGUUUAAUUCGAUGCAACGCGAAAAACCUUACCUACCCUUGACAUCCUCAGAACUUGUUAGAGAUAACUUGGUGCCUUCGGGAACUGAGUGACAGGUGCUGCAUGGCUGUCGUCAGCUCGUGUCGUGAGAUGUUGGGUUAAGUCCCGCAACGAGCGCAACCCUUGUCCCUAGUUGCCAGCAUUUCGGAUGGGAACUCUAGGGAGACUGCCGGUGACAAACCGGAGGAAGGUGGGGAUGACGUCAAGUCAUCAUGGGCCCUUAUGGGGUAGGGGCUACACACGUGCUACAAUGGUCGGUACAGAGGGUUGCCAAGCCGCGAGGUGGAGCUAAUCUCAUAAAACCGAUCGUAGUCCGGAUUGGAGUCUGC